CCCGCUGAACUUAAGCAUAUCAAUAAGCGGAGGAAAAGAAACUAACAAGGAUUCCCCUAGUAACGGCGAGUGAAGCGGGAUGAGCUCAAAUUUGAAAUCUGGCUGGUUUACUAGUCCGAGUUGUAAUUUAAAGAAGCGUUUUCGGUGGCAGCCUGGGUAUAAAUCCUUUGGAAUAGGGUAUCAUAGAGGGUGAGAAUCCCGUCUUUGACCUAGUGCAUGCUACUAUGUGAUACGUUUUCAAAGAGUCGAGUUGUUUGGGAAUGCAGCUCAAAAUGGGUGGUAAAUUUCAUCUAAAGCUAAAUAUUGGCGAGAGACCGAUAGCGAACAAGUACCGUGAGGGAAAGAUGAAAAGAACUUUGAAAAGAGAGUUAAACAGUGCGUGAAAUUGUUGAAAGGGAAACGUUUGACACCAGUCAUGUGGGUGGAAAAUCAGUCUUUUGCAUUGGGGAGUUGUAAGGGUUCGGACCGCAAGGCCGGCUUUUGCUUCAUCUUUGGUGUAAGUGAUGCACUUUUUCAUCUACAGGUCAACAUCAGUUUCUUUUGCUGGACAAAACUCCGAGAGAAGGUAGCAGCUUAGGCUGUGUUAUAGCUCUGGAGCGAUACAGUGAAGGGGACUGAGGUUUUCGCAGCGUGUGCUCUCUACAAUGCCUGGCAUUUUGCUUCAUAAUGGUUUUAAACGACCCGUCUUGAAACACGG
This 697-nucleotide ribosomal RNA is filed under the name uncultured fungus. RNAcentral's name for it is "eukaryotic LSU rRNA". It matches the Rfam family "Eukaryotic large subunit ribosomal RNA", at positions 24 to 664 of the family's 3401-position model. Lineage: Eukaryota; Fungi. The record is from RNAcentral.